AUUGAACGCUGGCGGCAGGCCUAACACAUGCAAGUCGAACGGUAACAGAAAGCAGCUUGCUGCUUUGCUGACGAGUGGCGGACGGGUGAGUAAUGUCUGGGAAACUGCCUGAUGGAGGGGGAUAACUACUGGAAACGGUAGCUAAUACCGCAUAACGUCGCAAGACCAAAGAGGGGGACCUUCGGGCCUCUUGCCAUCGGAUGUGCCCAGAUGGGAUUAGCUAGUAGGUGGGGUAACGGCUCACCUAGGCGACGACCCCUAGCUGGUCUGAGAGGAUGACCAGCCACACUGGAACUGAGACACGGUCCAGACUCCUACGGGAGGCAGCAGUGGGGAAUAUUGCACAAUGGGCGCAAGCCUGAUGCAGCCAUGCCGCGUGUAUGAAGAAGGCCUUCGGGUUGUAAAGUACUUUCAGCGGGGAGGAAGGGAGUAAAGUUAAUACCUUGGCUCAUUGACGUUACCCGCAGAAGAAGCACCGGCUAACUCCGUG
This 490-nucleotide ribosomal RNA is filed under the name uncultured bacterium. RNAcentral's name for it is "partial 16S ribosomal RNA". It matches the Rfam family "Bacterial small subunit ribosomal RNA", at positions 30 to 507 of the family's 1533-position model. The record is from RNAcentral.